Molecule: RNA transcript, 7418 nt
Organism: Amphiprion ocellaris (clown anemonefish)
Lineage: Eukaryota; Metazoa; Chordata; Actinopteri; Pomacentridae
Gene name: germ cell-specific gene 1-like protein
Exons: 8
Source: RefSeq, a predicted model, not a curated record
GACCCGAGACGACUCUGGAGUGGCUUCAGGUCACGUCUCUGACUGUCCCCGAGUGACCCGAUCGAAGCUUAAACCCCACAGAGCUUCUGUGGUAAGACCUGAAGACGGCGGUUCAACACACUACCAUCUGAUCUGAUGAAGACUGAGAGGAUCUGUCAGAAGAAAUAGGAUAAACAGCAAAGAUCCAGGUGUACUUAGCAUGUAGAGACUGACCCCACACGACUCUGGGCUGGAGCUACUGAAAGGGCUUCUAGAGAUGUGAAUACUGCUGGAAAUGGGAGAUUUCAGGUGUUCUGAACCCCAAAACCUGCUGGCAAUAAAUGCAAGAAACUGUAAAAACAAAGAAUCAACAAGUCUUCAGUUUUCUUUGAAUCCAUCAUGUGUGACUUGCUGUUCUGUCAGUGAACUAACCAAAUCUAAGCUUAUUUCAAUAAAAUCACUUUAUUAUACAUGUUUCAAUUUUAAAAAACUGACCAAAUAAUAAAGCAAUUGCACCAGAUUCUGUAAAAAACUAAAGAAAUCUGCACUCCUUAGCACAGCUGAAAAGCUAUGGCUGACUAGGCUGUGACCAGAACAUAGAGGAGAAUAAAACAUACUGGGUCAGUUAAUCAAAUGGCUCAAAAAUGGUUUACAGAGGAGCAAGUUGUUGGAAGAUACAUUCAGCAGGGUGAAAUGUCUUUCUACAGCUGAUGAGCAGAGAUAAAAAGUCUAUGGAGGCUGGAAACAUGGAAAUAUAUUUUUAAAAUGACUCAAAAUUUGUCCAAAAUGACGGAAACUGUUCAAAAAUGGUUCAAAAUAUUGCUCAAAAUUGACUCAAACUUGUCCAGAAUUACAUAAAAUAGUCCACGGACUCAAAAAUGAUUCAAAAUGACAUAAAAUUUGUCUCAAAAUGAUCAUUAAAGGAAAAUCAAACCUAUUGGAUCAAUAAAAUAGAAUUAGAAUUAGAAUGACUUUAUUGUCAUCAUACAUGGCAUGCCAAAAAUAUAAAUAGCUUCCACUGGAUGGUGCACAACAACAAGCAAUAAGUAGUAAAAUAUCAACAUUAAAUAAUAAAAUCAAAUGUACAUUUAUAGCAAAACAAUAUUAAAAAAUACAACGUGUGCAAAGGAGGACAGAUAUGUGCAAUAUGGGAGGUAGAUGAAAUGGAAUAAGAACCAGAAGAAUAUGAUAAAUAUGUUAGGAGAUUGCACGAAAGCAGCAGAAGGUGACAUUGUGCAUUCAGGUAGAUGGUGUUUAGAGUUCAGGAGUCUGAUGGACCAUGGAUAGAAACUGUUCCUGAGCCUGUUUGUCCUGCAUUUUGAGGAUCUCAGUCUCUUCCUGAUGGCAGCAGGCUGAACAGCUUCUGGCCAGGGUGUGUUCUGUCUGCCCAGAUCUUUUUCCCUCUGCUGAUGCAGCAGGAGGUCGUGAUGUUCUCCAGAGGACAGCCGAUGAUUCUCUCUGCUGUCCUGAUAACCCUCUGCAGAACCAGACAGUCACACAGUAGGUCAGUACAGACUCUAUGGUGGCCCGGUAGAAGGACACCUGCAGUCUCUCCUCCAGGUGGUUCCUCCUCAGCACUCGGAGGAAGUGGAGUCUCUGCUGUGUCUUUUUAACCAGUGCUGCUGUGUUGACUGUCCAAGUGAGGUCCUCAGAUAAAUGAGUCCCCAGGAACUUGAAGGAGGCCACUCGCUCCACACAAACCCUGUUGAUGGACAGUGGAGCAUGGACACCCUUAUGCCUCCUGAAAUCAAUGACCAUCUCUUUGGUGUUCUUGGUGUUCAGCUCCAGCUGCAGCAUGGAACUCUCUCAAGGGAUUCCAUAUCUUAUCUGGCCUGGGAAAACCUCAGCAUUCCCCAGAAGGAACUGGAAAACAUGUUGGGUAGCAGAAAUACAAACAAACCAGAGCAUUUUUUCCCCCAUCACAGAGUGAGGAUUAGGUGCAGUCAGACCAUUCUGCACCACAGAAUGGUCUGACUAAGAAAGACCACCAGUCCAUCUACAUUUCACACUUCGCCCAUGGUCAUGAGUGGUAGGUAGUGACCAUACGAAUGAGAUUGCAGAUACAUGUUCCUCUGUAGGAUGGCUGGACUCAGGGUGAGGAGUUUGGACAUCACGUCAAAAGAAGCCAGCUGAGGUUGUUCAGGGUCAGAAUGGCUCCUGGGGACCCUCCUUUGGAGGUUUUUCAAGCAUGUCCACUUGGGAGAGACCCUUGGGUAGAGCUGGAACUCUCUGGAGGAAAUACUUAUCUGACCUGGGAACACCUCAAGAUUCCCUCAGAGCAACUGGAAAACAUGUUGGGUAGCAGAAAUACAAACAGACCAGAGGGUUUUUUUUCACCAAAAAGGAGCAGUCAGACCAUUACGUACUCCAGAAUUAGCUGGCUAAGCAACAUUGCCAGUCGGUCCACAAGUCAAGCCUCACCUAUGGUCAUGAGUUUUGGGUAGGGACACAAAAAUGCAAAUACAAGUGGCCAAAGUAGGCUUCCUUCAUAGCAGGGCUGGGCUCAGCCUUAGAGGUAGGGUUUAUUAGCUCAGACUUCACAUCAAACGGAGCCAGCUGAGGUGGUUCAGGAUUACAGUGGCUCCUAGGUGCCUUUCUUUGGAGGUUUUUCAAGCAUGUCCAACAGGGAGAAGACCCUUGGGUAGACCUGGAACUCUCUCAAGGGAUUACAUAUCUUAUCUGGCCUGGGAACACCUCAAGAUUCCCCAAAAGGAACUGGAAAACAUUCUGGGUAGCAGAAAUACAAACAAACCAGAGUGUUGUAGUGAUGCCUUUCUUUGUGGAGUUUUCAAGCAUGUUAACCUGGGAGAAGAACCUGGGGUAGACCUGGAACUUUCUGGAGGGGUUACAUAUCUCAUCUGGUCUGGGAUUCUUUAGGUUGAACUGGAACACUGCUGGGUAGAGGGAUGUUGGGAAUGACCUACUUGGAUUGUUGUUCCCUCAGAUUAACCCCGGAUAAGCCAAAGAAAAUCAAUGCAUGGAUGAUGAAGAUGCAUUUUGGCCAUUGUAUGUGUGUAUUUGGACUGCAGCAGCAGAGAUUUGCGCUUCCACCAUCAUGUGCCAACUCUUCUAAAUGAGCUGCUCCAGCUUCACUAAUUUUCCAAUCACUGAUUCCCAGCCGGCGUCUUUCUGCUCAUUAAAGCCGACCUCUGUGCAUACAGCUGUGUCAGUUUGCCUUAAGAAGGGUCGAAGUUUAAGACACAGCAUGAACCGUGAGAUGACAACACCAUCACACUCAUCUCACUCCAAGCUGUUCUAUAGCACGCCAUCAAAUUAAUCACUAUAGGCGGGUAGGUCAAGGAGGUUAUCACCGAGAGAGGAGCAGAGAUGAGGAAAGCAAAAGAGAAGGGGAGAGCUUUGGGGAACAGACACCGUAUAGGGAGUGAAGGGGAGGGAAAGGAGCAGAUGGACUCGGAGGAUUAGAGGGAAAUCUGAGUGAGUUUCCAUCAGAAACUCACCCAAGACGGAGGAGGGCGUGAUGAGGGAGCGCAGAGGGAAAGAGGAGGUGAAAGAAAGUGUCCUGUGGACCCGAACACGGUGGUGGUCCAGAGACUGGCAUUAAUCUCAUCCACCUAACCCUGCUGGAUUAACACGGAUUACCAGGCCGGAGGUAGGCCUGAGAUACCGGACUAAUCACUCCUUGGCGAGCCCAUUCCCUCCGGCAGAGGUGGAGGAACAGGUUGAAGAGCCCGCACGAUUAGUGGCAAAAUCCACUGGACACGAUUUAGACAUUUAUAGCAAAGGAGAAGCCAUCAGGGAAGGCAGGACAUGAGACGGGAAACAUGGGGUAAACCAAACACCUCGCCUGGUGACGUCCAGAAGAACGGAAGCAGAGAUUUAAAUCUGCUCAUCUGCUCCACUCGUUCAUCAUGAUGCUGUGACUGAUUCUGCAGCCAGAGGAGGAAAGUUCCUCCUGCAACCUCUGGCCUUCACAUCUGUCUUCUCUGCUUUCUCUUCUUGCUGGAAGUGAUUAAGUCCCAGCGCUUCAUCUCUCUCCACUCCAUUGUCCUCUGACCUCCGCCAGCUGACCCAUCUCCUCCGUGAAACUCCGCCUUCCUUCAUCCCACCGCUGACCCCGUUUCAUUCUCCCCUCUGACCUUCGCUCCACUUCUCAAACGCUACUAAUCCUCUCUCCUUGCUGCCUCGCUCUUCUCCAACAUCUUCCAUAAAGCGAUCUCGCUCACCCCGGAACCAGUCGAGCCAUUGUUGCACCUUCUCAAACCAAAUCUUAUCUUUUUCCUUUGGUUGUCUCCGGGUCGAGCUGCAGCCAUGUUGGAGAACAUGUCCAGGCGUAACCGCUCCCUGCUGUCCCUGUCCCUCACCUCUUUAGCCCUCACGCUGUCCGUCUCGGCCUUCUGCACCUCCUACUGGUGCGAAGGGACCCAUAAGGUGGUGAAGCCGCUGUGCCUGUCGCCGGUCAAGAUGAAGAACUGUGGACAGAACAACAGCCAGCCGUACACCACAGAGGCGCCGACCCCGGACCCCAAGAACCCGACACCCAACAUGACGCUCUCCCCGAUGCAGAAGGAGGAGCUGGCCCGGAUAAAGAGGAAGCAGCUGGCCAACGCCGUCCACUACCUCUGGGAGACGGGCGAGGACAAGUACAUGCUGCGAUACUUCCACACCGGCUUCUGGUUGUCCUGUGAGAAACACAAUGAAGGUGAUGAUCAGGAGGAAAAGUGUCGCAGCUUCAUUGAGUUGACACCUGGAGAGACACAAGGUGUGCUGUGGCUGUCGGUCAUCAGUGAAUUCAUGUACAUUGGCCUCCUGGCCAUAGGCUUCCUGCUGAUGUGUGUGGAAGCUCUGUGCCUCUGUGCCAAGAGGGAGAUGAACGCCCUCAAGAUCAACGCCUUUGCUGCCAUGUGCACCGUCCUCUCAGGUAUGAUGGGAAUGGUAGCUCAUAUGAUGUACACCACAGUGUUUCAAAUGACUGUAAGCAUCGGACCAAAGGACUGGAGGCCACAGACCUGGGACUAUGGAUGGUCUUUUGCCAUGGCAUGGCUUUCAUUCAGCUGCUGCAUGGCUGCCGCUGUGGCUACACUCAACUCCUACACCAAGACCAUCAUCGAGAUGAAGCACCGGGCCCGGGUGAGGCUGGAGGAGGCCCGAGCUGCCACCAGCGCUCCGUCCUACGAGGAGGUGGUUCGAGCUGGAGGGGGAGGAGUUUACUCCGUCAGCCAGCUCAUUCAGCUCGGCCAGCAGGGGGUGCUCAUGGAUCCAAUGUGGCCCAGAGGAGUGGGACCUGCUGUGGGACCUCUGGCAUGUGGCGCUGGAGGGGCGCUGCUAGUUGGAGGUGGAGGAAUUGGAGUUGGAGGCAUCGGGAAUGUUGGUGUUGGGAUGGGAAUGGGCGGAGUUGGAGGGAAUGGAGUUGGAAUGGGAGGGAUGGGAGUCAUGGGUGGAGUUGGAGGGAAUGGAGUUGGAAUGGGAGGGAUGGGAGUCAUGGGUGGAGUUGGAGGGAAUGGAGUUGGAAUGGGAGGGAUGGGAGUCAUGGGUGGAGUUGGAGGGAAUGGAGUUGGAAUGGGAGGGAUGGGAGUUGGAGCAAUGGCAGGAGUUGGGGGAAUGGGAACAGUGGGAGGAGUUGGGGGAAUGGGAACAAUGGGAGGAGUUGGGGGAAUGGGAACAAUGGGAACAAUGGGAGGAGUUGGGGGAAUGGGAACAAUGGGAGGAGUUGGGGGAAUGGGAGCAAUGGGAGGAGUUGGAGUGGGAGGUGGACGGCUGGUGGACCCUCAUGGCGUGGUGGUGGUGGAGGGAUGUGGCGCUGAAGGAUGUGAGGACUGUGAACGGGAAAUGGACGAGAUCGAUUACGCUCUGCAGGAGGACAGAGAGGACUCACUCUGCUGAGACUUUGAAGACCAGAGGACUGAGACAAACAUCUGGUUAGCUUUGAUUUUAGUCAUCUGACUGAACCUACAAGAUUUGGACACACGCAUCUUCAUAAGUCUUUGUUGGUUUGUCAUAAAUAGGCAGCUCCAAGGGAUCAUUCCAGCGCAUUUCUAGACUCUUUUUAGGCCUGCAUGCAUGCUGUGGACCGUUCACAGAGCAGAUGUGUCGUCGAAUGUAUCUUUAUACAGGCCAUGACUGUAGCAAACCAAAGGUGUAGGGUUGUGGCAAAGCAAGACGGUGACCUGGGAUUGUGUCGUCAGUUACUGGAUCCAACACAGCAAUGGGAAAUUUAAAGUGUAGCACAGAGUUUGCACAAUAUAGAUGAGGUAUCAUCUGCAGACUACAGUAGACUCUUUACACAAGAAAGUUGACCAUGUCAUCAAGUGGUCAAGAUCGAGAAGUGGACUUCCUGUUACAUGCAAAGAUGUUCUUUCCCGUAUAUCAGUCACUUUAUGACUCAUUUCUGUGUAAAUUUAAAUACAGAACUGGUAAAUUCUUGUCUGCAGAGCAGAUCUCGGUGAUGCAUAUGCGCUCCUGUCAUGCGUGGUAAAGCCACUUUCAUUGAUUACAAAGGAUGGUAUUGGAUGGCGCCACAUCUUGUGGACAUUUAGUACAACCACAGGUUACACAAUGACAGUUUAAUAAUGUAUUAUCCCAUUUUUUGACCACUCUGUUGAUUUAUUACAGGGUCUCGCUGAACAAGUUAGCACAGCAGCACUGUUGCCCCAUUGCCUCCAUGUUUCUGACAACCUGAAGAAUGUAUAUCCAAGAACCAAACCUUUCUACUGAGUGUUGGUGUGUAGGGAGUCUUUCUGCACCAGAAGAUGAAGUCAACGAGGCUAAAAGCUUCACAGAGCUGAAGAACUGGCAUGUUUCUAUAACCUCUCCUAUGCUGCUGGUACUCUUACUGACUUCUUACUGACAUUUAAAAGCUCCACCACAUCGUUCAUAGUCGUCCAAUAUUUCUGACCAAAUACCUGACAUGGAUGCCUGGGGCAUGACAGACGACACAUUUGGGAACGAAAGAAGAAGCAGGGAUCAAAGAUUACAUCAACAGAGAGAUUUGGAGGUUAAGACAGAUGCUUUCAAAUGCUGGACAGAAGAUUAUGUCAAUAAUCUCCCCUGUCAGGGGAAUAAGAGAGAGAGCCUGACAUAAUAUAGGCAGUGAAGCAGAGAUAAAGCAGACCUCCGGGUCACUGAACACUAUGUGAAAAGUAAUUAAAAAUGUAAAUUAAAUCGGAAUUAUACAACCGUUACACAACUGUCAACAUAUGCAAAGUGAUGGAUUUGAUUAGUUUAUUACUCAUAAGCUGAGCAGUGUCUGUCGCUGUGCUUUUAACUGAAGCCACCACAUGUAUGUGUUUUCACUUUACAUCUAAUUUUUAAAUAUUUUAAGGAUGCUAGAUGUUCUAAUUUGCCAAAAAAUAGCAGUUUCUACUCACUCCAUUGAAAAACUACAAAGUGAGUGUCCAUGAUUUUGCAGUCCAGUGAUUUUCUAAAGAGAUAAAUACUUUUUUUGGAAGGAACCCUCCAAAAUAAAUGUCCUUUUUGGUGAA